RNAcentral lists this ribosomal RNA (542 nucleotides) under Raffaelea aff. sulphurea C2579. RNAcentral's name for it is "eukaryotic LSU rRNA". It matches the Rfam family "Eukaryotic large subunit ribosomal RNA", at positions 44 to 591 of the family's 3401-position model. The record is from RNAcentral. Lineage: Eukaryota; Fungi; Ascomycota; Sordariomycetes; Ophiostomatales; Ophiostomataceae.
CAAUAAGCGGAGGAAAAGAAACCAACAGGGAUUGCCCUAGUAACGGCGAGUGAAGCGGCAACAGCUCAGAUUUGGAAUCUGGCUCCCCCGGGGGCCCGAGUUGUAAUCUGGAGAGGGAGCCUCUGGCGCGGCGCCCGGCGAGUCCCCUGGAACGGGGCGCCGGAGAGGGUGAGAGCCCCGUACGGCGGGCCGCCGUGCCUCUGCGAGGCCCCUUCGACGAGUCGAGUAGUUUGGGAAUGCUGCUCCAAGCGGGAGGUAAAUUUCUUCUAAAGCUAAAUACCGGCCAGAGACCGAUAGCGCACAAGUAGAGUGAUCGAAAGAUGAAAAGCACUUUGAAAAGAGGGUCAAACAGUACGUGAAAUUGUUGAAAGGGAAGCGCCCGUGGCCAGACUCGCGCCCUGCGGACCACCCGGCGGACCCCGCCGGGGCGCUCCGCGGGGCGCGGGCCAGCAUCGGCCGCUGCGGGGGGACAAGGACGGCGGGAACGUGGCCCCUCCGGGGGUGUUACAGCCCGCCGCGCCAUGCCCCCGCGGCGGCCGAGG